GACGAACGCUGGCGGCGUGCUUAACACAUGCAAGUCGAGCGGUAAGGCCCUUUCGGGGGUACACGAGCGGCGAACGGGUGAGUAACACGUGGGUGACCUGCCCUCAGCUCUGGGAUAAGCCUGGGAAGCCGGGUCUAAUACUGGAUAUGACUCCAUGACGCAUGUUGUGGGGUGAAAGCCUUGUGCGGCUGAGGAUGGGCCCGCGGCCUAUCAGCUUGGGUGGGGUGAUGGCCUACCAAGGCGACGACGGGUAGCCGGCCUGAGAGGGCGACCGGCCACACUGGGACUGAGACACGGCCCAG
This 302-nucleotide ribosomal RNA is filed under the name uncultured bacterium. RNAcentral's name for it is "bacterial SSU rRNA". It matches the Rfam family "Bacterial small subunit ribosomal RNA", at positions 28 to 334 of the family's 1533-position model. The record is from RNAcentral.